UGGAUCGUAGCUUAAUUCGGUAAAGCACCGCACUGUGACUGCGGCCAUUGCGGGUUCGAAUCCCGUCGAUCCACCCA
RNAcentral lists this transfer RNA (77 nucleotides) under Acidobacteriota bacterium. Its description in RNAcentral is "Acidobacteria bacterium (activated sludge metagenome) tRNA-His". It matches the Rfam family "tRNA". From Rfam's summary of the family: Transfer RNA (tRNA) molecules are approximately 80 nucleotides in length. Their secondary structure includes four short double-helical elements and three loops (D, anti-codon, and T loops). The record is from RNAcentral. Lineage: Bacteria; Pseudomonadati; Acidobacteriota.